AACGAACGCUGGCGGCAUGCCUAACACAUGCAAGUCGAACGGGAUCCAGGCUUCGGCCUGGUGAGAGUGGCGGACGGGUGAGUAACACGUGGGAACCUGCCUUUUGGUUCGGGAUAACCGCGGGAAACUGCGGCUAAUACCGGAUGCUCCCGAGAGGGGAAAGAUUUAUCGCCAGAAGAGGGGCCCGCGUCCGAUUAGGUAGUUGGUGAGGUAAUGGCUCACCAAGCCGACGAUCGGUAGCUGGUCUGAGAGGAUGAUCAGCCACACUGGGACUGAGAUACGGCCCAGACUCCUACGGGAGGCAGCAGUGGGGAAUAUUGGACAAUGGGGGCAACCCUGAUCCAGCAAUGCCGCGUGAGUGAUGAAGGCCUUAGGGUUGUAAAGCUCUUUUGCCAGGGAAGAUGAUGACUGUACCUGGAGAAUAAAGCCCCGGCUAACUUCGUGCCAGCAGCCGCGGUAAU
This 461-nucleotide ribosomal RNA is filed under the name uncultured bacterium. Its description in RNAcentral is "bacterial SSU rRNA". It matches the Rfam family "Bacterial small subunit ribosomal RNA", at positions 29 to 524 of the family's 1533-position model. The record is from RNAcentral.